GACUCUGGGAUAAGCGCUGGAAACGGCGUCUAAUACUGGAUACGAGUAGCGACCGCAUGGUCAGUUACUGGAAAGAUUUAUUGGUUGGGGAUGGGCUCGCGGCCUAUCAGCUUGUUGGUGAGGUAAUGGCUCACCAAGGCGUCGACGGGUAGCCGGCCUGAGAGGGUGACCGGCCACACUGGGACUGAGACACGGCCCAGACUCCUACGGGAGGCAGCAGUGGGGAAUAUUGCACAAUGGGCGCAAGCCUGAUGCAGCAACGCCGCGUGAGGGAUGACGGCCUUCGGGUUGUAAACCUCUUUUAGCAGGGAAGAAGCGAAAGUGACGGUACCUGCAGAAAAAGCGCCGGCUAACUACGUGCCAGCAGCCGCGGUAAUACGUAGGGCGCAAGCGUUAUCCGGAAUUAUUGGGCGUAAAGAGCUCGUAGGCGGUUUGUCGCGUCUGCUGUGAAAUCCGGAGGCUCAACCUCCGGCCUGCAGUGGGUACGGGCAGACUAGAGUGCGGUAGGGGAGAUUGGAAUUCCUGGUGUAGCGGUGGAAUGCGCAGAUAUCAGGAGGAACACCGAUGGCGAAGGCAGAUCUCUGGGCCGUAACUGACGCUGAGGAGCGAAAGGGUGGGGAGCAAACAGGCUUAGAUACCCUGGUAGUCCACCCCGUAAACGUUGGGAACUAGUUGUGGGGUCCAUUCCACGGAUUCCGUGACGCAGCUAACGCAUUAAGUUCCCCGCCUGGGGAGUACGGCCGCAAGGCUAAAACUCAAAGGAAUUGACGGGGACCCGCACAAGCGGCGGAGCAUGCGGAUUAAUUCGAUGCAACGCGAAGAACCUUACCAAGGCUUGACAUAUACGAGAACGGGCCAGAAAUGGUCAACUCUUUGGACACUCGUAAACAGGUGGUGCAUGGUUGUCGUCAGCUCGUGUCGUGAGAUGUUGGGUUAAGUCCCGCAACGAGCGCAACCCUCGUUCUAUGUUGCCAGCACGUAAUGGUGGGAACUCAUGGGAUACUGCCGGGGUCAACUCGGAGGAAGGUGGGGAUGACGUCAANUCAUCAUGCCCCUUAUGUCUUGGGCUUCACGCAUGCUACAAUGGCCGGUACAAAGGGCUGCAAUACCGCGAGGUGGAGCGAAUCCCAAAAAGCCGGUCCCAGUUCGGAUUGAGGUCCGCAACUCGACCUC
This 1173-nucleotide ribosomal RNA is filed under the name Microbacterium sp. Its description in RNAcentral is "bacterial SSU rRNA". It matches the Rfam family "Bacterial small subunit ribosomal RNA", at positions 134 to 1319 of the family's 1533-position model. The record is from RNAcentral. Lineage: Bacteria; Bacillati; Actinomycetota; Actinomycetes; Micrococcales; Microbacteriaceae.